This 305-nucleotide ribosomal RNA is filed under the name uncultured bacterium. RNAcentral describes it as "bacterial SSU rRNA". It matches the Rfam family "Bacterial small subunit ribosomal RNA", at positions 333 to 631 of the family's 1533-position model. The record is from RNAcentral.
CCUGGCCUACGGGACGCAGCAGCAGGGAAUUUUCGUCAAUGGGCGCAAGCCUGAACGAGCAAUGCCGCGUGAACGAGGAAGGUCUUCGGAUCGUAAAGUUCUGUUGAAGGGGAAAAAGAGCGGAGAGAGGUAAUGAACUCCGAUUGAUAUUACCCUUCGAGGAAGUCACGGCUAACUACGUGCCAGCAGCCGCGGUAAUACGUAGGUGGCGAGCGUUAUCCGGAAUGAUUGGGCGUAAAGGGUGCGUAGGCGGCCUGCUAAGUCUGGAGUGAAAGGUACCGGCUCAACCGGUACAGGCUCUGGAA